UUUAUAAUUAAAACAGUGUCUGUCUUUGACACCUAGACACUGAUGUGAUGAAAAUGCCCUCGAGGCUUCCAACAGCAAAACAAGCAUUUAUAAGAAUGCUGUAGGUACAGAAAUUGUUUUCUAAGUGUGAAAUGAAUAUCCAACUAGUCAGUGACAACUGUGUGGAGUUUGGAGUUGUGACAGCAACUAUGUGAGCUUAUUACAGUAUUAUAGACACCAUGUCCUGGGAUUUCCUAUGAUCUUCUAUGUAGAAGAACCCCUUACCUCCUAACUAUUUUUGUGCGACUAGUUUGUAGCUCAAACCGUUCCGACUUUACAGACGUUUUUGUGAGAAGAACCGUUUUCGGGAUCCACCCUUGUCUCACAAAAACUGCUGUAGUUCAGCCCCACGUCAAUUGCACAGGCUAAUGGUUGGAAUCGGCGGUUGCAAAAAGUGUUGCACCAGAUCCCGACUGAUGAUGCCCCGCCAGUACGAGAACGGUACAGACCCAUUCCUCCCAGCCUCUAUGCGGAGCUCCGUGCUCUACUACAGUACAAGGAUAGAGGAGCCCUUGCCCUGCCUGAAAGAAUCCCUGCGGAACUCGACGCUGGACUUGGCCAGUGGAUAUUGGUAGGUCCGGGUGGAUCCGAGAGACCAAGAGAAGACAGCCUUCACCACGCCUCUUGAUCUCUAUAAGAUCGAACGGAUGCCCGUCGCUCUGUGUAAUGCCCCUGCCACAUUCCAGCAUCUGAUGCAGCCGUGCCUCUGGCAAUAGGACACCUACACUACCCGAUGUCACAGGAAGGCCAAAAAGAUCAUCAAGGACAACAACCACCUGAGCCACUGCCUGUUCACCCCGCUAAUAUCCAGAAGGCGAGGUGUCUCCGGAAGGUGGUGAUUGACUCCGCUGUCCUGGCGUCGUGAGGGAGCUUGUUCCACCAUUGGGGUGCCAGAGCAGCGAACAGUUUUGACUGGGCUGAGCGGGAACUGUGCUUCCUCAGAGGUAGGGAGGCGAGCAGGCCAGAGGUGGAUGAACGCAGUGCCCUUGUUUGGGUGUAGGGCCUGAUCAGAGCCUGAAGGUACGGAGGUGCCGUUCCCCUCACAGCUCCGUAGGCAAGCACCAUGGUCUUGUAGCAGAUGCGAGCUUCAACUGGAAGCCAGUGGAGAGAGCGGAGGAGCGGGGUGACGUGAGAGAACUUGGGAAGGUUGAACACCAGACGGGCUGCGGCGUUCUGGAUGAGUUGUAGGGGUUUAAUGGCACAGGCAGGGAGCUCAGCCAACAGCGAGUUGCAGUAAUCCAGACAGGAGAUGACAAGUGCCUGGAUUAGGACCUGCGCCGCUUCCUGUGUGAGGCAGGGUCGUACUCUGCGAAUGUUGUAGAGCAUGAACCUACAGGAUCGGGUCACCGCCUUGAUGUUAGUGGAGAACGACAGGGUGUUCUCCAUGUGUAUGUGACCAGUAAAAUUUGAUUUUAUUUGAUUUUAUAAAGUAUUGACUCAGGG
RNAcentral lists this long non-coding RNA (1482 nucleotides) under Salmo salar (Atlantic salmon). Its description in RNAcentral is "lncRNA (ENSSSAG00000094919.1, ENSSSAG00000116659.1)". Lineage: Eukaryota; Metazoa; Chordata; Actinopteri; Salmoniformes; Salmonidae. The record is from RNAcentral.